Molecule: ribosomal RNA, 483 nt
Filed under: uncultured bacterium
Lineage: Bacteria
Description: partial 16S ribosomal RNA
Rfam family: Bacterial small subunit ribosomal RNA
Source: RNAcentral
AUCGAACGCUGGCGGCAUGCUUUACACAUGCAAGUCGAACGGCAGCGCGGGCUUCGGCCUUGCCGCGAGUGGCGAACGGGGGAGUAAUGCAUCGGAACGUGCCCAUUAGUGGGGGAUAGCCCGGCGAAAGCCGGAUUAAUACCGCAUACGACCUGAGGGUGAAAGCGGGGGACCGAAAGGCCUCGCGCUUUUGGAGCGGCCGAUGUCGGAUUAGCUAGUUGGUGGGGCAAAGGCUUACCAAGGCGACGAUCCGUAGCUGGUCUGAGAGGACGACCAGCCACACUGGAACUGAGACACGGCCCAGACUCCUACGGGAGGCAGCAGUGGGGAAUUUUGGACAAUGGGGGCAACCCUGACCCAGCCAUGCCGCGUGCGGGAAGAAGGCCUUCGGGUUGUAAACCGCUUUUGUUCGGGAAGAAAUCCUCUGGAGUAAUACCCCGGGGGGAGGACGGUACCGGAAGAAUAAGCACCGGCUAACUACGU